Molecule: unclassified non-coding RNA, 219 nt
Filed under: uncultured fungus
Lineage: Eukaryota; Fungi
Description: sequence contains ITS1
Source: RNAcentral
UUGCAAUAUUUUUUGUUUUUAAAUUCAGACGACACGGUUGUAAAAAGAAUUUGUGGAGGCCAUUGACGGGCGCGGGCCAGAGACGUUCAUACGCGCCUCCGGCGGACCAUUUCUGGUCGGGCCCGCCAAAGCAACACGGUAGUUUAGACACAGGGUUGGAGGUCGGGCCUGAAAGACCCUAACUCGGUAAUGAUCCUUCCGCAGGUUCACCUACGGAAA